Molecule: long non-coding RNA, 1955 nt
Organism: Gallus gallus (chicken)
Lineage: Eukaryota; Metazoa; Chordata; Aves; Galliformes; Phasianidae
Source: Ensembl
AUAUGCUAGUCUGAAAGCAGUAAUCCACUUUACCAAAUCAAGUUAUUUUUAAAAAAUUUUCUGGGAACUGAAGCUGCUGUACCUUUUUCUAAGGUUUCUAAAUAAUAAACAUUUGAAUUUGGUUCUGUGAAAUGAAAUUAUUCUGUUGAGGAGGACGGUUGCUGGUUUGUUCCAGUCUACAGCUGAGAGAGGCUUUCCCACUCAAUCUCUUCUUUUAUGCCAUUUCUUGGAUUUGCAGGUCUCUCUUCUGUCUCCCACUCUUCAAACUUUCUGGACCUCUACACUCUACUUGGUAUUUUCUCAAUUGUUUGUGUGUUAAUGCUGCCGAGAGGGAAAAAUUCCUAAAAGAAGGAGAGGCAAUUUGACUGUGCUGUUUUGUGCUUGCACCUGGGUGACUGGUGGUAGGUCGUGGCUUUCUCUCACCAUGUGUUUCCCAUAAAAGCCCUGGCUGCCUUGAGUGCUGUGUGAUAGGCUGUCUGGAAGCUAAAGACCAAGUGCAUGCACUCUGCUAGAAAGACUGAAAUAUCCUGUAACCAGUAGCUGAAGUUGCCAGAUGCUACAGUGUCUGCAAGCGGUGACAGUUACAAUGCUCACACUGCCGCAGUCAAGAGAAAACCACGUCACGAUGAAAGAGCUUCAGUGCACAUAGUUUGAUGUUAAAAAAUAAAAAUAAAAAAAAUGAAAAAUAAGCUUAUGAAACAUUUAAGGAGUGGGAAAGUCCAAAAUGCUGUACAGGACAACGUAAGCCUGUAUUCUUUUCGUUGGAGGUAGGGAAAGGAGAACAAAGCACAUCUAUUUGUCAAAACAAAAACACCUAAGAAUAUGAAAAGGUUUGUUUUCUGUAAUGGAAACCAAGGUUGGGAAAUUAGAGAAAACUAGGCUAAGUGUUGCAUCAUUAUAAAGUGACACAAUGCUCAGUUUGUAGAAAGUAAUAGCUAAAGAGUAGUCAUCCAGAGGUAGCAUUUUACUGAGCCAUUUCAUUAAACGUGCUGUUGAUUUCACAUUUGCCAAUAGCAAACUACCAGGUUUUCGUUGCUAUGGGUUUUUGUUGUUUCCCAGGUUGUCUUUUUGCUAAUAGUUAUAAGAUCUCAAGUGUGGAAGCUGCCCACUUGUGCAUGAAAAUAGUCUUCAGCAAAGAAAAAAUAAGUUUACUACUCUUUGGGUGUAGAUGGCCUCAUAACAGCUGAUGUAGCUUCAUGGGCAGGAGAGUUUUUGUGCUGUGUACGAAGGGUGCAUCCCUGUUAUAGAAUAGCUGCUUUCAGUGGUUUUCCAGAAGGGACAGAGACAGACAGCUCAGUUAUAUCUCCAAUAAGAGAGGGAGAAAAGCUUGCAGAAACAGCUGUUGACGCUGCGGGUUGAGCUGUAGAGCAGACAGAUGAGCUGUGGGGUGCCUGCUGUGCUCUCUUCCAGCCAAGGCAUGGGGCCAAGCUAUCUCACAGCACAUACUCAGUUUGCUGCCUGAUGGAUUGGCCUGGUAUUCACACAUCAGGACUAUCGCUUCUGUCUUCUGAAAUGGUCUCCUACAAACGUCAGGGUUUGGCUUAGGAGACUGACAAGAUCUAGCACCAGGGUUUUGGGCUAAAUCCUUCAGUGCAUUGCUUCUGCAGAGGGGUAACUAAACGUCCAGGAAUUCUGGACUUGACCCAAUGCCAGUUAAAAUCAGUGGACUUUCUGCUAAACAAGAAUUACCAGUCCUAGUGGAAUUUGCAGUGGCUUCAAAAAAAGCAUUUAGAAAUCCACAUUCUCACUGUUUUCCUUCCCAAAACAAACAAGAAAAAGCACAAGAUUUUCAAACUCUAACAUUAAUUUCAUGUACAUAGGUGAUUUUUUUUCUUUUAAACUGUAUAACUUCAAUAAAUCACUGUAUCUAACUACGGUGUGGGCAGCAAUUAUCUCUGACACAUAAAAGAGAAUUUUUGAAUGUGGUUGAGGAUAAAUAAAAAGAACUUUCUAUC